Molecule: ribosomal RNA, 704 nt
Filed under: uncultured organism
Description: SSU rRNA
Rfam family: Bacterial small subunit ribosomal RNA
Source: RNAcentral
UUGAGGCUCGAAAGUGUGGGUAUCAAACAGGAUUAGAUACCCUGGUAGUCCACACGGUAAACGAUGAAUACUCGCUGUUUGCGAUAUACUGCAAGCGGCCAAGCGAAAGCGUUAAGUAUUCCACCUGGGGAGUACGCCGGCAACGGUGAAACUCAAAGGAAUUGACGGGGGCCCGCACAAGCGGAGGAACAUGUGGUUUAAUUCGAUGAUACGCGAGGAACCUUACCCGGGCUUAAAUUGCAGAUGAAUUACGGUGAAAGCCGUAAGCCGCAAGGCAUCUGUGAAGGUGCUGCAUGGUUGUCGUCAGCUCGUGCCGUGAGGUGUCGGCUUAAGUGCCAUAACGAGCGCAACCCUUGUUGUCAGUUACUAACAGGUUUUGCUGAGGACUCUGACAAGACUGCCAUCGUAAGAUGUGAGGAAGGUGGGGAUGACGUCAAAUCAGCACGGCCCUUACGUCCGGGGCUACACACGUGUUACAAUGGGGGGUACAGAGGGCCGCUACCACGCGAGUGGAUGCCAAUCCCCAAAACCUCUCUCAGUUCGGACUGGAGUCUGCAACCCGACUCCACGAAGCUGGAUUCGCUAGUAAUCGCGCAUCAGCCACGGCGCGGUGAAUACGUUCCCGGGCCUUGUACACACCGCCCGUCAAGCCAUGGGAGCCGGGGGUACAUGAAGUGCGUAACCGCGAGGAGCGCCCUAGGGUA